UUUUAAAUCGAUAUUGUUAAAUGAGUAGAGAGUGUUGCUAGGUGCACCAGCUUUAUUGCUUGUGCACCCAACAUUUUUUUAAUUCCAAAAUUAUCCUGCGUCGAAGGUACGCGAGUUCGUGGUUGAUCUGUAUGUUUAAAUUAAACUUAUGGAUUACAUGAUUCGUAUAAAAUAUACGAAUCAUGUAAUCCGUAAGCAUAAUUUAAACAUACGGAUCAAGUUGAUCCGUAUGGUUUGUAUGGAUGAACUUGAUCCGUAUGAGCCAUACGGAUCAAUGUUGAUCCGUAUGAGUCAACUUGAGUGAAAGACAUUUUCGCCUAUUCACUUAAAAUCUUAAAAUGCUGGGUGCACCAACAAUAAUGCUAGGUGUAACUAGCAUCACCCAUGAGUAGAUAACAUUGGAUUUUUUUUUAGCCAUGUUAGUUUUUUUAACACUUCAAUAGCAAUAAGUCAUAGGUUGUUGCUUGGGGCACCCAGCAACCUGGAUGAAAGGGCAAAAAUGCCUUUCACCAUUUCCUAUAAAAGCCAAAUAGUGAUUCAUCCGUACGAGUCACUAUUCAAUUUUUUUUUAUGUGCUCUUCCUCCUUCCUCCGUUCUCCUUCCUCCUUCCUCUGUUUCGUGCCUUCGUGACCGUGCCAUUCGUGGUUCCGCUGCUGUUGUCGUUCGUGCUGCUGCUGCCACCGUGACCGUGUUGUGUUGUGUUGUUGCUGCUUCUUCUUUCUUCUUCUCCUUCGAGAAUGUCACGCUCUCGUGCGACGUCAUCACGUUGGACCAGCCUCAAUAAGGAACUGGAAUAGCUUCUUGCGAAUGUGCCUAAAUUAACCAUUGACGAGCACAGAGAGUGGAGGGAAAUGACAAACAUGAUGCAGAAUGUCGCGGCUUCACUAGAGGCUUUUUUCCAGACCGUUCACAUCAGGGACCAGAUUUUCGGUGAAGUUAGUAAGGUAUAUGCUGUCAAGUGGAAUGACGUACUGGACGGUGUAUGACAUUUGGUUGACAAAGACGGAAAUUAUCAUAACGUUGUGUACAAUAAAGAUCUGGAUAAACCAACCAUUGUAGCAGGGUGGACAACACUAUGAGAUUUUUACCAGUUGACCGGAGAUCAUCUAGUAUCCUUGCAUCAUUAUGGUAACAGUGUAAUUUUUCUUACCAUAUUCAAGAUCAUUUGCCUGCCCAAAUCAUUCCCAAGAUGACACUCUUUAUACCAUCAAGUGUCAGGUUCUAUUACCUUCAAGGUUUAUCUCACUGAGCAGAAAGUUACCUGUAGCAGUCUGGACGUUCCAAGUAGCAUGUAUUAUUUUCUUAAAGACAAAGGCUGGACGCAUUUGCACUUGGAGGACGUUGCUGAAUGUCGACUCGUGUUCAAUCAUUUUAGGAAGACACUUAAAAUUGGAGUCGGAUGGAAACAUUUAUGCGAGACCUUGUCAUUGACCGUUGACAUGGGAAUAGUUUUUGAAUUCAUUGAUCCCAAUGUUAAUCGUGUGCUCUAUUGGGCGUAUUUAUGAAUAAUUUAGGAUUUUGAACAUUUAAUUACUUUGAACAUUUUAAUUAUUAUGAACAUUUUAAUUAUAUAUUAGUUGUUUUAUAAUAA
This is a long non-coding RNA of Glycine soja, 1591 nucleotides long. RefSeq lists it as uncharacterized. Lineage: Eukaryota; Viridiplantae; Streptophyta; Magnoliopsida; Fabales; Fabaceae. The transcript has 5 exons. The record is from RefSeq and is a predicted model, not a curated record.